RNAcentral lists this ribosomal RNA (489 nucleotides) under uncultured bacterium. Its description in RNAcentral is "bacterial SSU rRNA". It matches the Rfam family "Bacterial small subunit ribosomal RNA", at positions 18 to 507 of the family's 1533-position model. The record is from RNAcentral.
CCUGGCUCAGCCUGAACGGCUGGCGGCGUGGCUAAGACAUGCAAGUCGCACGGGCGUAGCAAUACGUCAGUGGCGGACGGGUGAGUAAUGUAUCGCUAAUGUACCCUUCACGCUGGGAUAGCUGCGGGAAACUGCAGGUAAUACCAGAUGAUAUAACCGAAUCGCAUGGUUUGGUUCUCAAAGGAGCAAUCCGGUGAGGGAGCAGGCGAUAUCGUAUCAGCUAGUUGGUGAGGUAAAGGCUCACCAAGGCGACGAUCAGUAGCUGGUCUGAGAGGACGACCAGCCACACUGGACUGAGACACGGCCCAGACUCCUACGGGAGGCAGCAGUGGGGAAUUUUGGACAAUGGGGGCAACCCUGAUCCAGCAAUGCCGCGUGAGUGAAGAAGGCCUUCGGGUUGUAAAGCUCUUUUGUCAGGGAAGAAACGGUUCUGGUUAAUACCUGGGGCUAAUGACGGUACCUGAAGAAUAAGCACCGGCUAACUACGUG